GAUGAACGCUGGCGGCGUGCCUAAUACAUGCAAGUCGAGCGAACGGACGAGAAGCUUGCUUCUCUGAUGUUACCGACGGACGGGUGAGUAACACGUGGAUAACCUACCUAUAAGACUGGGAUAACUUCGGGAAACCGGAGCUAAUGCCGGAUAAUAUUUUGAACCGCAUGGUUCAAAAGUGAAAGACGGUCUUGCUGUCACUUAUAGAUGUAUCCGCGCUGCAGUAGCUAGUUGGUAAGGUAACGGCGUACCAAGGCAACGAUGCAUAGCCGACCUGAGAGGGUGGUCGGCCAGACUGGAACGGAGACACGGUCCAGACUGCGACGGGAGGCAGAAGUAGGGAAUAGUCCGCAAUGGGCGAAAGCCUGACGGAGCAACGCGGCGGGAGUGAUGACGGUCUUCGGAUCGUAAAACUCUGUGAUUAGGGAAGAACAUAUGUGUAAGUAACUGUGCAUAUCUUGACGGUACCUAAACAGAAAGCCACGGCUAACUACGUG
Molecule: ribosomal RNA, 497 nt
Filed under: uncultured bacterium
Lineage: Bacteria
Description: partial 16S ribosomal RNA
Rfam family: Bacterial small subunit ribosomal RNA
Source: RNAcentral